GCUUACGGCCAUACCACUCUAAACACACCUGGUCUUAUUUGAUCUCAGAAGCUAAGCAGGGUCGGGCCUGGUUAGUACUUUGAUGGGAGACUGCCUGGGAAUAUCAGGUGCUGUAAGCU
RNAcentral lists this ribosomal RNA (119 nucleotides) under Amphilophus citrinellus (Midas cichlid). The record is from RNAcentral. Lineage: Eukaryota; Metazoa; Chordata; Actinopteri; Cichliformes; Cichlidae.